GAUAAUUCCAGCCCAGCAAUGGUCAACAGGUGCAAACACCAACAAGUGACAUCAUUUCAGUAGAAGCAGUCCAUCAGUUGCACCCAGCAAUGUUGAGCAGGUGCAGACACCAACAAGUGACAUCAUUUCAGUAGAAGCAGUCCAUCAGUUGCACCCAGCAAUGUUGAGCAGGUGCAGACACCAACAAGUGACAUCAUUUCAGUAGAAGCAGUCCAUCAGUUGCACCCAGCAAUGUUGAGCAGGUGCAGACACCAACAAGUGACAUCAUUUCAGUAGAAGCAGUCCAUCAGUUGCACCCAGCAAUGUUGAGCAGGUGCAGACACCAACAAGUGACAUCAUUUCAGUAGAAGCAGUCCAUCAGUUGCACCCAGCAAUGUUGAGCAGGU
This is a long non-coding RNA of Schistocerca serialis cubense, 386 nucleotides long. RefSeq lists it as uncharacterized. The record is from RefSeq and is a predicted model, not a curated record. NCBI's taxonomy places the organism in Eukaryota, Metazoa, Arthropoda, Insecta, Orthoptera, Acrididae. The transcript is spliced from 3 exons.